UUUCCGUAGGUGAACCUGCGGAAGGAUCAUUCAUAAUAAAGUGUUUUAUGGCACUUUUUAAAAAUCCAUAUCCACCUUGUGUGCAAUGUUAGAUCUCGUCAAUCUUGGCGAGAUUUUUAUACAUCAACUCAUUCUUUAACUGAUUUGUCUGAAAAAUAUUAUGAAUACUUAAUUCAAAAUACAACUUUCAACAACGGAUCUCUUGGCUCUC
This 211-nucleotide unclassified non-coding RNA is filed under the name plant metagenome. RNAcentral's name for it is "partial contains small subunit ribosomal RNA, internal transcribed spacer 1, and 5.8S ribosomal RNA". The record is from RNAcentral.